This 292-nucleotide ribosomal RNA is filed under the name uncultured bacterium. RNAcentral's name for it is "partial 16S ribosomal RNA". It matches the Rfam family "Bacterial small subunit ribosomal RNA", at positions 504 to 796 of the family's 1533-position model. The record is from RNAcentral.
UGUGCCAGCAGCCGCGGUAAUACGUAGGUGGCAAGCGUUGUCCGGAAUUAUUGGGCGUAAAGCGCGCGCAGGCGGUUAUGUAAGUCUGAUGUUAAAGCCCGGGGCUCAACCUCGGUCCGCAUUGGAAACUGCGUAACUUGAGUGCAGAAGAGGAAAGUGGUAUUCCACGUGUAGCGGUGAAAUGCGUAGAGAUGUGGAGGAACACCAGUGGCGAAGGCGACUUUCUGGUCUGUAACUGACGCUGAGGCGCGAAAGCGUGGGGAGCAAACAGGAUUAGAUACCCCGGUAGUCC